GCGAGAGUAGCUCAGUUGGUAGAGCGUCAGCCUUCCAAGCUGAAUGUCGCCAGUUCGAACCUGGUCUCUCGCUCAA
RNAcentral lists this transfer RNA (76 nucleotides) under Tenacibaculum discolor. RNAcentral describes it as "tRNA-Gly". It matches the Rfam family "tRNA". From Rfam's summary of the family: Transfer RNA (tRNA) molecules are approximately 80 nucleotides in length. Their secondary structure includes four short double-helical elements and three loops (D, anti-codon, and T loops). Further hydrogen bonds mediate the characteristic L-shaped molecular structure. tRNAs have two regions of fundamental functional importance: the anti-codon, which is responsible for specific mRNA codon recognition, and the 3' end, to which the tRNAs corresponding amino acid is attached (by aminoacyl-tRNA synthetases). tRNAs cope with the degeneracy of the genetic code in two manners: having more than one tRNA (with a specific anti-codon) for a particular amino acid; and 'wobble' base-pairing, i.e. permitting non-standard base-pairing at the 3rd anti-codon position. Lineage: Bacteria; Pseudomonadati; Bacteroidota; Flavobacteriia; Flavobacteriales; Flavobacteriaceae. The record is from RNAcentral. RNAcentral also lists the same sequence under 12 other names.